This 484-nucleotide ribosomal RNA is filed under the name uncultured bacterium. RNAcentral describes it as "partial 16S ribosomal RNA". It matches the Rfam family "Bacterial small subunit ribosomal RNA", at positions 30 to 507 of the family's 1533-position model. The record is from RNAcentral.
AUUGAACGCUGGCGGAAUGCUUUACACAUGCAAGUCGAACGGCAGCACGGGGGCAGCCCUGGUGGCGAGUGGCGAACGGGUGAGUAAUACAUCGGAACGUGCCCGGUCGUGGGGGAUAACGUAGCGAAAGUUACGCUAAUACCGCAUACGAUCUGAGGAUGAAAGCGGGGGACCUUCGGGCCUCGCGCGAUCGGAGCGGCCGAUGUCAGAUUAGGUAGUUGGUGGGGUAAAGGCCUACCAAGCCGACGAUCUGUAGCUGGUCUGAGAGGACGACCAGCCACACUGGGACUGAGACACGGCCCAGACUCCUACGGGAGGCAGCAGUGGGGAAUUUUGGACAAUGGGCGCAAGCCUGAUCCAGCCAUUCCGCGUGCAGGACGAAGGCCUUCGGGUUGUAAACUGCUUUUGUACAGAACGAAAAGGCUCUGGCUAAUACCUGGGGCUCAUGACGGUACCGUAAGAAUAAGCACCGGCUAACUACGUG